Molecule: ribosomal RNA, 505 nt
Filed under: uncultured bacterium
Lineage: Bacteria
Description: partial 16S ribosomal RNA
Rfam family: Bacterial small subunit ribosomal RNA
Source: RNAcentral
GACGAACGCUGGCGGCGUGCCUAAUACGUGCAAGUAGAACGCACAGUUUAUACCGUAGCUUGCUCCACCAUAGACUGUGAGUUGCGAACGGGUGAGUAACGCGUAGGUAACCUGCCUGGUAGCGGGGGAUAACUAUUGGAGACGAUAGCUAAUACCGCAUAAUAUUAAUUAUUGCAUGAUAAUUAAUUGAAAGGUGCAAUUGCACCACUACCAGAUGGACCUGCGUUGUAUUAGCUAGUAGGUGAGGUAACGGCUCACCUAGGCGACGAUACAUAGCCGACCUGAGAGGGUGAUCGGCCACACUGGGACUGAGACACGGCCCAGACUCCUACGGGAGGCAGCAGUAGGGAAUCUUCGGCAAUGGACGAAAGUCUGACCGAGCAACGCCGCGUGAGUGAAGAAGGUUUUCGGAUCGUAAAGCUCUGUUGUAAGAGAAGAACGGGUGUGAGAGUGGAAAGUUCACACUGUGACGGUAUCUUACCAGAAAGGGACGGCUAACUACGUG